RNAcentral lists this small RNA (162 nucleotides) under Clostridium sp. CAG:62. RNAcentral's name for it is "Clostridiales-1 RNA". It matches the Rfam family "Clostridiales-1 RNA". The record is from Rfam by way of RNAcentral. Lineage: Bacteria; Bacillati; Bacillota; Clostridia; Eubacteriales; Clostridiaceae.
AGUCCCCAGGUUAUCAAAGUCAACGAUUUUUCGUGCUUGCACGAAAGAAACGUUGACCUUGAUAACCGCAAAAUAUGAGGAAGAAGCGAUUUGUGUAACAAAUCUGCGGAUUCCGAAUAUUUUCAGGAGUGCGUAAACUGCGGAGCACUCCGCCUGGGGACG